RNAcentral lists this unclassified non-coding RNA (228 nucleotides) under Hevea brasiliensis (rubber tree). The record is from RNAcentral. Lineage: Eukaryota; Viridiplantae; Streptophyta; Magnoliopsida; Malpighiales; Euphorbiaceae.
AGAGAGAGAGAGAGAGAAUAAAAAGAGAGAAGAAGGGAAGUGAAGGAUAAACUAGUUGACACGCUUGUGUUUACUUGGCUGCCCAGAAGAGGCAGCUAAGGUAAAUUACAAAAGCUAAAACAAACCAUAAUUGCAAAAAAUCCAAUAUUCUUUUCAAAAAGACUUUUUGUAAGAGAUUUUUAGAGGACUUUUGUAGGUAUUGUUAAGUGCAUGAUGCAUAUUUUUCUG